AUCUGGCUGGCUCAGUUGGUAGAGCGAGAGACUCUUGAUCUCGGGGUUGUGCGUUCGAGCCCCAUGCUGGGUG
This is a non-coding RNA of Odobenus rosmarus divergens (Pacific walrus), 73 nucleotides long. The record is from the annotation of a RefSeq genome assembly. Lineage: Eukaryota; Metazoa; Chordata; Mammalia; Carnivora; Odobenidae.